Molecule: RNA transcript, 3671 nt
Organism: Cebus imitator (Panamanian white-faced capuchin)
Lineage: Eukaryota; Metazoa; Chordata; Mammalia; Primates; Cebidae
Gene name: integrin beta-1-binding protein 1-like
Exons: 1
Source: RefSeq, a predicted model, not a curated record
AGACACUUUUCAAAAGAAGACAUACAGGUGGUCAACAAGCAUAUUUUAAAGCUUCAAUAUCACUGGUCAUUAACGAAAUGCAAAUUAAAACUACAAUGAGACACCAUCUCACACCAGUCAAAAUGGCUCUUACUAAAGGGUCAGAAAAUAACAGAUGCUAGUAAGGUUGCAGAGAAAAGCGAACAUUUGUAUACAGUGGGUGGGAGUGUAAAUUAGUUCAACCAUUGUGGAAAGCAGUGGGGCAAUUCCUCAAAGAAAUAAAAGCAGAACUGCCAUUCAACCCAGCAACCCCAUUACUGGGUACAUACCCAGAGAAAUAUAAAUUAUUCUACCAUAAAGACAUAUGCAUGCAAAUGUUCAUUGCAGCACUAUUCACAAUAGCAAAGAUAUGGAAUCAACCUAAGUGCCCAUCAAUAACACACUGGAUAAAGAAAGUGUGGUACAUAUAUACCAUGGAAUAGUAUGCAGCCAUAAAAAAGAAUGAGAUCAUGUCUAAGGAACAUGGAUAGAACUAGAGGCUAUUAUCCUUAGCGAACUAGUGCAGGAACAGAAAACCAAAUACUGCACGUUCUCACUUAUAAGUGGGAGCUAAUUGAUGAGAACUCUUGAACACAAUGAAGGGAACAACAGACACUAGGGUCUACUUGAGGGUGGAAGAUGGGAAGAGGGAGAGGAGCAGAAAAAAUACCUAUUGGUGUUGAAAUUAUACAACAAACCUCUGCGACAUGAGUUUACCUAUAUAACAAACCUUCACAUGUACCCUCGAACCUAAAAUAAAAGUUUUUUAAUUGUAAAUAAAUUGAUCAUUAAUUUAAAAUGUUUUAAUAAUCAAAUUGUCUUAUCAAGUUCUCUUAUUGAAUAAUUUGGAGCAAAUUAUUCAAUAAGAAUAUUGAAAACAUAAAUUCUUCUCAUAAAGGACCAUAUUUUAUCCUUCCAUUUAUUCAGUUUUAUACUUGUUGUUGUAACUGUGAAAGUAAUCCUUUCCCAUUAAAUUUUAUUUACUGAUUAUUACCUAUUACAGAAAGCUACUGUUAUUUAUAUAUAAUUUUGUCUACUGAAUACUAGAUAGCAUCAUUUUCAUCUUUUACCCGGUGGCAUCGGGAAGCCUGUGGUGGCUACGUAACAUCCCCAACUUUCAAUUCAUGGAAUCCUAAUUGAUUUAGGGGAUGGAAGCAUUCCUCGCCAGGCACUAAAACCUCUGAUAAUUCUUGUUUCUGUUGGAAAAUGAUUCUGCCAGGGCACCCUGAUGUAUUUGUAUGUGUAAAGGAGGAAAACGUAAUUUUUCCAAUAUCCGUCUAAGUUUCCCCUACCCAGAUCCUCUGGGGCCCCUGUAACAAAAGACAGAUUAACAAGAGAAAAACAGAAGUUGGUUAGCAUGUAUAUAGCGAGAGAAAAAUAGAAGUUUAUUAGCAUAUAUACACACACAUGCAUAUAUGUGUGUGUGUGUACAUAUAUAUGUACACACAUAUGGGAGAUACUCAGAGAAAUGAAUAACUCUCCAAGAGGUGGUUGAGACUUCAAAGUUAAAUACCAUCUCCAGCUAAAGACAAAGAAAGAAGAAUGUGGGAAAGUCAGUUACGGGGAUGACCAGGAAGAACAUGGUAAACAAGAGUAAGGUUUGCUGUGCAGAUUUGAGCUGUAUUCUCCAUUGAUAAGAGUCCCUUGUGAUUUAGAAUCAUCCUUCUUUUCCUGGUUCAGAGAGGGAGACAUCCUUAUGAAUAGAGAUUUCCUUUGUAAAUGUAAACUUUCCUAACCAAGAAGUAACUUCUACUCUGUUUUUAGAGCUUCUCCUAUGUCUCCUAUUUCUGAAAAUAAUCCUUAUGCCAAAGAAGCAUAUUCUAGGGUGGCAUAUUUUGGCCUCCCAUACAUGUCUCCACAUAGACCCCAGAGGCAGAACUUAACUGCAGCUGAUCUGAUCUAAGUCUUGGCAGAAUACCUGUGGUCCUUUCAGAACAUUUGCACAUGGAAGGCAUGAGAGGAGCUGCAUGAAGGCCAUUCCCCACUCUCCUGCUUAUCUUUUGGAGGCUACCAUGACACUCAUUACUUCCUAGGUUCUGAUGAGGUCUGAGGCUUUCUAUUUCACCCCCACUAGGUAGCCUGUGAUAUGAAAUCCAUUGUAGUAGGAAAAGCAAAGUGGAGACCCUUGAAAUUGCCAUCCCCCAAGCAAAAUAAUGCAAUUGCAGGGAUUGGCACUCUCAAUGACCUAAAAAAUAUCAACUGGUCUCCAAAAUAUCCCUAUUCAAUUCACUUGUAUGUCACCAUCUCUGUUAAAAACAGAUCACUGUCUUCAUUGCUCGAUGUCCAGUGUUAUGUAGAUUGCAUGGAUUUAGUUUUUUCAGGUGGGCAGGUAAAUCUGGUCCCUGUUCACUCUCUUGGUCUCGUUAAUCAACAAAUUGUUAAGGCACUCAACUUCUCUAUUAAUAAAGAGGACUUUUUACAGAUAAACUGUGAAAAAUUUUAAAUGUUUAGUGUAUAAUAUGUUAAGUUUUAAAAGGUAAUAGAACAGUAAAAUAUACAAAAUAUAUGCUAUGUUUGUAUACUUGUAUACAUGUACAAAGUAUAUUUAUAAAUUUACAAAAUAUUUUAUACAUUUAUAAAGUACAUUUAAAUAUUUAUACUUAUAAUUUUUAUAUGUGCACACUAAAAUGUAUAAAAAGAUGUAACCAAUGUUUACAAGGAAGAUAUAUAUUAUAAUAUUUGAUAUUUUCUAAUAAAAAAUACUAAUGUUAUGAAUAUUUUGAAAAAAUAUAAGCACUUUGGCUCCAACACAGAUCACCCCACCACCCCAGGGAUGGGCCCAUGGCCACCAGGAGUACAAUGUUUCUUUGAAAAGAAUUCACCAUAUCAGAAAGGAAGGAGGCUCACUGAGCAGACCACUGUCUAUGGAAACUUUGAAGGCAAUAAAAUAGUAUUCAAUUCUAUGGGGAUCGUCUCUGGAUCAAGCUGUGGUUUUUUCAGAAAGGCAAAACAUGGCAUAGUAGUAGCAGUUCCCAAAGUAACAAAAUCAGGGGUUUUUCCGUGAUCCAGCACUAUGGCCAGUCUCAGCACAGAUUCCACCAAGCGCUCAGCACAAAGCAACAAUAAUUCAGAUUGCAGAAUUCGAACACAAUCUGUGGGGGCCAUUGAAAAACUGAAAUUCUCUGAGAGAAAAAAGUCUUGAAGGGCCACUAGACCUGAUAAAUUAUAAAGAUGUUGCCCAGCAAAUUGGAAAUUUACCCUUUUUUCCCCUCUGGAGGAAGAAUUUAUAUUGGGAGUUCUCAACUAUGGUAUAAAGUAUCAACAUCAGAUCAGCGCCAUGUUUUGCAUAGGCAUGCUCUAUUCUUAAUCAUCAGAUGUUAUGUUAUGAUGAUGGUCUGGAGGCAGGAAGAAGUUUAGUGACUCUGAAGACCAUGUGCUUGUGAGCAAUGAAGAAUACAGCCUGUGGGUUUAUUAGUGCAACAGACUGGAACAAGCACAAGCAAUCUGCAAAGUUUUACCCACUGAUUUUUGACCCUAUCUUGACAUCAGAGGAAUCUUCAAUUCUGCAACCUAGUGGAAGUCAACUUAAUCUGAAGGUUCAGCUGUUCUCUAAAUAGUAGUUUUGUUUUCGAUCUGCAAUGUUGUACUUUUCUGGAAAUAUGAAGUAAUUCCUUGCUCCAGAAUUUCUAAAAAAAAAAAAAAAAAAAAAAAAA